AUUUUUGGCACCCGGAGGCCCCUCGCAAAGUCUCGCCCCAUUCCGAGUCCGGCGGACGAACUUCGCCCGCGCCCCCCACCAAGGCUAUAGCCCACCCGUUUUUUGGCCAUUUUUCCGCUGGGGGGUUUUGGCACCACGACCUUCGGGCGCUUAUUUCUGGGCGCGGCUUUGCCCGCGGCUUAUUUUUGGUACCCCGAGGCCCCUCGCAAAGUCUCGCCGCAUUCCGAGUCCGGCGGACGAACGUCGCCCGCGCCCCCCACCAAGGCUAUAGCCCACCCGUUUUUUGGCCAUUUUUCCGCUCGGGGGUUUUGGCACCACGACCUUCGGGCGCUUAUGUUUGGGCGCGGCUUUGCCCGCGGCUUAUUUUUGGCACCCCGAGGCCCCUCGCAAAGUCUCGCCCCAUUCCGAGUCCGGCGGACGAACUUCGCCCGCGCCCCCCACCAAGGCUAUAGCCCACCCGUUUUUUGGCCAUUUUUCCGCUGGGGGGUUUUGGCACCACGACCUUCGGGCGCUUAUUUUUGGGCGCGGCUUUGCCCGCGGCUUAUUUUUGGCACCCCGAGGCCCCUCGCAUAGUCUCGCCGCAUUCCGAGUCCGGCGGAUGAACUUCGCCCGCGCCCCCCACCAAGGCUAUAGCCCACCCGUUUUUUGGCCAUUUUUCCGCUGGGGGGUUUUGGCACCACGACCUUCGGGCGCUUAUUUUUGGGCGCGGCUUUGCCCGCGGCUUACUUUUGGCACCCCGAGGCCCCUCGCAAAGUCUCGCCCCAUUCCGAGUCCGGCGGACGAACGUCGCCCGCGCCCCCCACCAAGGCUAUAGCCCACCCGUUUUUUGGCCAUUUUUCCGCUCGGGGGUUUUGGCACCACGACCUUCGGGCGCUUAUGUUUGGGCGCGGCUUUGCCCGCGGCUUAUUUUUGGCACCCCGAGGCCCCUCGCAAAGUCUCGCCGCAUUCCGAGUCCGGCGGACGAACUUCGCCCGCGCCCCCCACCAAGGCUAUAGCCCACCCAUUUUUUGGCCAUUUUUCCGCUGGGGGGUUUUGGCACCACGACCUUCGGGCGCUUAUUUUUGGGCGCGGCUUUGCCCGCGGCUUAUUUUUGGCACCCCGAGGCCCCUCGCAAAGUCUCGCCGCAUUCCGAGUCCGGCGGACGAACUUCGCCCGCGCCCCCCACCAAGGCUAUAGCCCACCCGUUUUUUGGCCAUUUUUCCGCUGGGGGGUUUUGGCACCACGACCUUCGGGCGCUUAUUUUUGGGCGCGGCUUUGCCCGCGGCAUAUUUUUGGCACCCCGAGGCCCCUCGCAAAGUCUCGCCGCAUUCCGAGUCCGGCGGACGAACUUCGCCCGCGCCCCCCACCAAGGCUAUAGCCCACCCGUUUUUUGGCCAUUUUUCCGCUGGGGGGUUUUGGCACCACGACCUUCGGGCGCUUAUUUCUGGGCGCGGCUUUGCCCGCGGCUUAUUUUUGGCACCCCGAGGCCCCUCGCAAAGUCUCGCCGCAUUCCGAGUCCGGCGGACGAACGUCGCCCGCGCCCCCCACCAAGGCUAUAGCCCACCCGUUUUUUGGCCUUUUUUCCGCUUGGGGGUUUUGGCACCACGACCUUCGGGCGCUUAUGUUUGGGCGCGGCUUUGCCCGCGGCUUAUUUUUGGCACCCCGAGGCCCCUCGCAAAGUCUCGCCCCAUUCCGAGUCCGGCGUCGAACUUCGCCCGCGCCCCCCACCAAGGCUAUAGCCCACCCGUUUUCUGGCCAUUUUUCCGCUGGGGGGUUUUGGCACCACGACCUUCGGGCGCUUAUUUUUGGGCGCGGCUUUGCCCGCGGCUUAUUUUUGGCACCCCGAGGCCCCUCGCAAAGUCUCGCCGCAUUCCGAGUCCGGCGGACGAACUUCGCCCGCGCCCCCCACCAAGGCUAUAGCCCACCCAUUUUUUGGCCAUUUUUCCGCUCGGGGGCUUUGGCACCACGACCUUCGGGCGCUUAUGUUUGGGCGCGGCUUUGCCCGCGGCUUAUUUUUGGCACCCCGAGGCCCCUCGCAAAGUCUCGCCGCAUUCCGAGUCCGGCGGACGAACUUCGCCCGCGCCCCCCACCAAGGCUAUAGCCCACCCGUUUUUUGGCCAUUUUUCCGCUGGGGGGUUUUGGCACCACGACCUUCGGGCGCUUAUUUCUGGGCGCGGCUUUGCCCGCGGCUUAUUUUUGGCACCCCGAGGCCCCUCGCAAAGUCUCGCCGCAUUCCGAGUCCGGCGGACGAACUUCGCCCGCGCCCCCCACCAAGGCUAUAGCCCACCCGUUUUUUGGCCUUUUUUCCGCUGGGGGGUUUUGGCACCACGACCUUCGGGCGUUUAUGUUUGGGCACGGCUUUGCCCGCGGCUUAUUUUUGGCACCCCGAGGCCCCUCGCAAAGUCUCGCCCCAUUCCGAGUCCGGCGGACGAACGUCGCCCGCGCCCCCCACCAAGGCUAUAGCCCACCCGUUUUUUGGCCAUUUUUCCGCUGGGGGGUUUUGGCACCACUACCUUCGGGCGCUUAUUUUUGGGCGCGGCUUUGCCCGCGGCUUAUUUUUGGCACCCCGAGGCCCCUCGCAAAGUCUCGCCGCAUUCCGAGUCCGGCGGACGAACUUCGCCCGCGCCCCCCACCAAGGCUAUAGCCCACCCGUUUUUUGGCCAUUUUUCCGCUGGGGGGUUUUGGCACCACGACCUUCGGGCGCUUAUUUUUGGGCGCGGCUUUGCCCGCGGCUUAUUUUUGGCACCCCGAGGCCCCUCGCAAAGUCUCGCCGCAUUCCGAGUCCGGCGGACGAACUUCGCCCGCGCCCCCCACCAAGGCUAUAGCCCACCCGUUUUUUGGCCAUUUUUCCGCUGGGCGGUUUUGGCACCACGACCUUCGGGCGCUUAUUUUUGGGCGCGGCUUUGGCCGCGGCUUAUUUUUGGCACCCCGAGGCCCCUCGCAAAGUCUCGCCGCAUUCCGAGUCCGGCGGACGAACGUCGCCCGCGCCCCCCACCAAGGCUAUAGCCCACCCGUUUUUUGGCCAUUUUUCCGCUGGGGGGUUUUGGCACCACGACCUUCGGGCGCUUAUUUUUGGGCGCGGCUUUGCCCGCGGCUUAUUUUUGGCACCCCGAGGCCCCUCGCAAAGUCUCGCCGCAUUCCGAGUCCGGCGGACGAACUUCGCCCGCGCCCCCCACCAAGGCUAUAGCCCACCCGUUUUUUGGCCAUUUUUCCGCUCGGGGGUUUUGGCACCACGACCUUCGGGAGCUUAUUUUUGGGCGCGGCUUUGCCCGCGGCUUAUUUUUGGCACCCCGAGGCCCCUCGCAAAGUCUCGCCCCAUUCCGAGUCCGGCGGAAGAUCUUUCGCCCGCGCCCCCCACCAAGGCUAUAGCCCACCCGUUUUUUGGCCAUUUUUCCGCUGGGGGGUUUUGGCACCACGACCUUCGGGCGCUUAUUUUUGGGUGCGGCUUUGCCCGCGGCUUAUUUUUGGCACCCCGAGGCCCCUCGCAAAGUCUCGCCGCAUUCCGAGUCCGGCGGACGAACUUCGCCCGCGCCCCCCACCAAGGCUAUAGCCCACCCGUUUUUUGGCCAUUUUUCCGCUGGGGGGUUUUGGCACCACGACCUUCGGGCGCUUAUUUUUGGGCGCGGCUUUGCCCGCGGCUUAUUUUUGGCACCCCGAGGCCCCUCGCAAAGUCUCGCCGCAUUCCGAGUCCGGCGGACGAACUUCGCCCGCGCCCCCCACCAAGGCUAUAGCCCACCCGUUUUUUGGCCAUUUUUCCGCUGGGGGGUUUUGGCACCACGACCUUCGGGCGCUUAUGUUUGGGCGCGGCUUUGCCCGCGGCUUAUUUUGCACCCCGAGGCCCCUCGCAAAGUCUCGCCGCAUUCCGAGUCCGGCGGACGAACUUCGCCUGCGCCCCCCACCAAGGCUAUAGCCCACCCGUUUUUUGGCCAUUUUUCCGCUGGGGGUUUUUUUACCCUAAGACGUUUUAAUUUUGAUUCGACCACAGAAAAAAACAACUUAAAUAUCCAUUUACGAUGUGAAAUCAUUAAUUAUUUGUUUUAUUAUUAAUUUAUAUUUUACUUUUCGAUUUAAAUAAUAUUUGUGCAAAUAGUUACAAGAAUUCAUGGUGGCUCAACGGUGGGUUUGAAACUUUAUUUGUGAUUUUGACCACCAUGUAAAGGGUUCAAGCUGCAGCUAAAUCUUUGUAUCUUAUUUUCAAAUAUUAAGGCAACUUCCCGCGCAGGUAGCCUCCAAUGAACUGCGGGAAAGGGCAACGGGUAGGGGAUAAGCAAUCGAGUUUUUUUGGGUUAGAUUUUUUGCACCGACACAGAGCAUGGGGAGAUGGACUGAGAUGAUAAGCGUCGGACUUGUUUGGAAAGCCUAGAUUUUUUGCGCGGAUGCAGAACAUGGGAUGGCGAACAUGGGAAACUAUGUUUUGGCAUCAAAAAAAUGAAAAUGGAGAAACCGGAACUUUGAAAACUUAGAAGAAGUGGUAAAAGGCUGCCCAUGCUCGAGGGAAGCUCGCCACCAAGGAGCUUGGUGGGCUUUCUCAACCCACAAUUUUGCGUUUUUCUCACGUUUUGACUAUAUUUUGAACCACGACCCGUUUUUUGGCCAUUUAUUCGCUGGGGGGUUUUGGCACCACGACCUUCGGGNNNNNNNNNNNNNNNNNNNNNNNNNNNNNNNNNNNNNNNNNNNNNNNNNNNNNNNNNNNNNNNNNNNNNNNNNNNNNNNNNNNNNNNNNNNNNNNNNNNNNNNNNNNNNNNNNNNNNNNNNNNNNNNNNNNNNNNNNNNNNNNNNNNNNNNNNNNNNNNNNNNNNNNNNNNNNNNNNNNNNNNNNNNNNNNNNNNNNNNNNNNNNNNNNNNNNNNNNNNNNNNNNNNNNNNNNNNNNNNNNAAAGUCUCACCCCAUUCCGAGUCCGGCGGACGAAAUUCGCCCGCGCCCCCCACCAAGGCUAUAGCCCACCCGUUUUUUGGCCAUUUUUCCGCUUGGGGGUUUUGGCACCACGACCGUCGGGCGCUUAUUUUUGGGCGCGGCUUUGCCCGCGGCUUUUUUUUGGCACCCCGAGGCCCCUCGCAAAGUCUCGCCCCAUUCCGAGUCCGGCGGACGAACUUCGCCCGCGCCCCCCACCAAGGCUAUAGCCCACCCAUUUUUUGGCCAUUUUUCCGCUGGGGGGUUUUGGCACCACGACCUUCGGGCGCUUAUUUUUGGGCGUGGCUUUGCCCGCGGCUUAUUUUUGGCACCCCGAGGCCCCUCGCAAAGUCUCGCCGCAUUCCGAGUCCGGCGGACGAACGUCGCCCGCGCCCCCCACCAAGGCUAUAGCCCACCCGUUUUUUGGCCAUUUUUCCGCUGGGGGGUUUUGGCACCACGACCUUCGGGCGCUUAUUUUUGGGCGCGGCUUUGCCCGCGGCUUAUUUUUGGCACCCCGAGGCCCCUCGCAAAGUCUCGCCCCAUUCCGAGUCCGGCGGACGAACUUCGCCCGCGCCCCCCACCAAGGAUAUAGCCCACCCGUUUUUUGGCCAUUUUUCCGCUGGGGGGUUUUGGCACCACGACCUUCGGGCGCUUAUUUCUGGGCGCGGCUUUGCCCGCGGCUUAUUUUUGGCACCCCGAGGCCCCUCGCAAAGUCUCGCCGCAUUCCGAGUCCGGCGGACGAACGUCGCCCGCGCCCCCCACCAAGGCUAUAGCCCACCCGUUUUUUGGCCAUUUUUCCGCUAGGGGGUUUUGGCACCACGACCUUCGGGCGCUUAUGUUUGGGCGCGGCUUUGCCCGCGGCUUAUUUUUGGCACCCCGAGGCCCCUCGCAAAGUCUCGCCCCAUUCCGAGUCCGGCGGACGAACUUCGCCCGCGCCCCCCACCAAGGCUAUAGCCCACCCGUUUUUUGGCCAUUUUUCCGCUGGGGGGUUUUGGCACCACGACCUUCGGGCGCUUAUUUUUGGGAGCGGCUUUGCCCGCGGCUUAUUCUUGGCACCCCGAGGCCCCUCGCAAAGUCUCGCCCCAUUCCGAGUCCGGCGGACGAACUUCGCCCGCGCCCCCCACCAAGGCUAUAGCCCACCCGUUUUUUGGCCAUUUUUACGCUGGGGGGUUUUGGCACCACGACCUUCGGGCGCUUAUUUCUGGGCGCGGCUUUGCCCGCGGCUUAUUUUUGGCACCCCGAGGCCCCUCGCAAAGUCUCGCCGCAUUCCGAGUCCGGCGGACGAACGUCGCCCGCGCCCCCCACCAAGGCUAUAGCCCACCCGUUUUUUGGCCAUUUUUCCGCUAGGGGGUUUUGGCACCACGACCUUCGGGCUCUUAUGUUUUGGCGCGGCUUUGCACGCGGCUUAUUUUUGGCACCCCGAGGCCCCUCGCAAAGUCUCGCCCCAUUCCGAGUCCGGCGGACGAACUUCGCCCGCGCCCCCCACCAAGGCUAUAGCCCACCCGUUUUUUGGCCAUUUUUCCGCUGGGGGGUUUUGGCACCACGACCUUCGGGCGCUUAUUUUUGGGCGCGGCUUUGCCCACGGCUUAUUUUUGGCACCCCGAGGCCCCUCGCAAAGUCUCGCCCCA
RNAcentral lists this long non-coding RNA (6497 nucleotides) under Citrus x clementina. Its description in RNAcentral is "Citrus clementina (C. clementina) long non-coding RNA (CCLE_LNC001644)". Lineage: Eukaryota; Viridiplantae; Streptophyta; Magnoliopsida; Sapindales; Rutaceae. The record is from RNAcentral.